Molecule: long non-coding RNA, 443 nt
Organism: Chinchilla lanigera (long-tailed chinchilla)
Lineage: Eukaryota; Metazoa; Chordata; Mammalia; Rodentia; Chinchillidae
Exons: 2
Source: RefSeq, a predicted model, not a curated record
CCCUGAGGUACCACCAGCCCUGCCACCCCACCAAGAGUUACUUGGAGUACAAAGAAAAAGGGGUGUGGAGUCAGCAAAGCCCUAAAGAGAAAGACAUGAAUUCAGAGACUGAAACUUUCCAACGAAAGUAAUUCAAGGACUCAAAAGCAAUGUACUUCAUAGCAAUGAGCACAGCUGGAUCCCAGACAUGGUUUCUAAAUCCUACUGUCCACUGAAAAGAAGCAAAGAUCCUUGGGAAAUGACUCCUGGUUUGCAGGGAAACCAGGAGGUGAAACUGGAAUGUCCUGAUGUGCCAGAAAAUGAGGAGCAGUUCAAAGACUGAUGCAGUCAAAAGGACAAAGGAACCAGCUCUAAGUGAUUGCCCAUGGAUCAAAUAUAUGAAAAUUUGAGUCUCAAAAAGAAUAAUUACAAUAAUCAAUAACAAUAUAUUGGAUAAAGUGAAA